UGGGGAAUAUUGCACAAUGGGCGGAAGCCUGAUGCAGCGACGCCGCGUGGGGGAUGAAGGCCUUCGGGUUGUAAACUCCUUUCGACAGGGACGAAGCUUUGGUGACGGUACCUGUAUAAGAAGCACCGGCUCACUACGUGCCAGCAGCCGCGGUAAUACGUAGGGUGCGAGCGUUGUCCGGAAUUACUGGGCGUAAAGAGCUCGUAGGUGGUUUGUCGCGUCGUCUGUGAAAUUCCGGGGCUUAACUCCGGGCGUGCAGGCGAUACGGGCUGACUUGAGUGCUGUAGGGGGGACUGGAAUUCCUGGUGUAGCGGUGAAAUGCGCAGAUAUCAGGAGGAACACCGAUGGCGAAGGCAGGUCUCUGGGCAGUAACUGACGCUGAGGAGCGAAAGCAUGGGUAGCGAACAGG
This 409-nucleotide ribosomal RNA is filed under the name Actinomycetes bacterium. RNAcentral describes it as "Actinobacteria bacterium partial 16S ribosomal RNA". It matches the Rfam family "Bacterial small subunit ribosomal RNA", at positions 355 to 776 of the family's 1533-position model. Lineage: Bacteria; Bacillati; Actinomycetota; Actinomycetes. The record is from RNAcentral.